GGCCGCAUGUUAAUGGGUGAGAAAGUUGCUAUACCAGAUGGAUACAGUGCAUUAUGUAUGUAUCAAAAGAAGCCCUUAUUUGAGAACAUGGCUCUCUAGCACACACUUGGGUUUGCAUGGGAAAGUACAAGCAAAAUCAGCCCUUCACAGAUUAUAUGGUUUCCCUCAAUUAAUAUUGAUGCCAUGAACUUAGUACACUUACUAAGUAGACAAGAUAAGUAUUCUUACCAAGGGCCUAGGAAGAUCAAUGAUUGGGAGGAGGAAUAUUCAUAUAUUCAUGAUAGGAAGUGUUAAGCUCUUUUGAAAUCCAUUGUUUUAAAACGAAUAUAACAUGCUUAUAUAAAUAUUGCUCUCUCCCCUCCCCCCCCCGAAUUAUCGAUCUUCUUGUUGUCUUGACUUUUACAAUUUUGCCAAUGACUUUUACUUAGUAGUAACCUUUUCAAGAUCUGUUAUCCUUUUUGGUUCACAGGAAUGAAAUGAAUCUGUGUAAGUUUUUUAUUUUAGGCUAUCUUCUCAGGGAGAAUCAUAAACCUGUCACUGAUGACCAGGAUAGAUCUUUUCGAGCUAUAAAAAGAUUUUCUGAAUUCACACAUUGGAAUCUUGAGGACAGGCCUUGUUUAAAUGACAAGAUCAGAAAGGCAAUGCAAUGGAUUUACAUUUCUUCAGCGAUACAUCAACCUGUGAAGACUGACACUGUUAUGGCAAAAAUUACAUGACAAUGGUCGAAGUGGUAAUUUCUAAUUCUUACCUCAGGGUGGAGAAGGAUGAUGUUUCAAAGUGUUCUUCCUCUGAUGAACUAGAAGAAGAAUGUACAUUUCAUUCAAUUUCAAUUUUUAUUGAAAGUUUAUCUCAAUCAUAAUUGAUCGUUAAUCAUUUAGUCCGAUUGAUUUCAAUCCAAACCAAAAUCUGUAUAUAACAUGUACAUUGGAAAGCUACCAUUGGUGCUGCUUUCUUUAACAUACGUAGAUUGUGGAAGAGAAAGUGAGUUGUGGAUUGCUUGAAUAGUGUUAUCUUUUGUCUGCAACACAUGCGUAUAGUUCUUUAAAUUACAGCGAUCUCGUGGUUGUCUUUUUAAUAAUAUUUUAUGAGUUUAAA
Xenia sp. Carnegie-2017 is the source of this 1095-nucleotide RNA transcript. It is a transcript of the gene named ribonuclease H2 subunit C-like, with no coding region annotated. The transcript is spliced from 5 exons. NCBI's taxonomy places the organism in Eukaryota, Metazoa, Cnidaria, Anthozoa, Malacalcyonacea, Xeniidae. The record is from RefSeq and is a predicted model, not a curated record.